This is a long non-coding RNA of Ornithodoros turicata, 741 nucleotides long. RefSeq lists it as uncharacterized. The transcript has 4 exons. NCBI's taxonomy places the organism in Eukaryota, Metazoa, Arthropoda, Arachnida, Ixodida, Argasidae. The record is from RefSeq and is a predicted model, not a curated record.
UUGCACUGGAGGGAGAGCCACGUUUGUGCUGCUGCAUCGUGGCGCGUUUAUGAACUAAAGUUAAAGCGCUGGAAAUUACAGUUUCCGGUUCCGGCGGCUUGCGACGCUCUUUUUUUAUGAUGCGUUAUUUUUCCCCGUGGUCUCUGAUAAGCGAGAAAGAAGUAUCAGACUCGCAGAUCCGCGUGUGAGAGUCACUGCUGUUUGAGUGUUCCGUGAGGAAGAACUAACGUCUGCACUAAUAUGCAGCUUCUUGGAGCCUACAGCAUGGAUGUUGAAAGGCGCCGAUUGUUCCAGCAAGCGGGCUGCUGCAUCAGAAUCGUAUGAGCCGUUUGCGAAGGACGACUCCAAGGACGCAUGUAAGGUUCCUGCAGGAGACCAGACGUCGUCUACGUGGAUACGAGUCAAGUGCGAAGGGUAAGCAACAGCCAAGGAAUCGGUAGAAAGGAGGUCCUUGCAUGAUAAUACGGCUCACGGCACUUCUGUGAAGUACAAGAAGCAGCGCAACUCGGAUGUUUCUGCUCUUGCAUGUUGAUGCAUUGCAUUUAGGCACGAAUUACAGACAACUCGUCGAACGCUGGGGAUAUGCGUUUGAUUUUUUUCUGCCAAAGGACAACGAGCAACGUUUGUGCAGUUAAAAGAAGAGAAUACAUCAUGUGAGAAAAUUAAGUCUGCACACGGACAAAUAGAGAAGAAUGCGUUAGGUCAUCAAUAAAAAAACAUUAAACAGGAAGAAAAAAAAAA